GAUGAACGCUGGCGGCGUGCCUAAUACAUGCAAGUCGAGCGAACAGACGAGGAGCUUGCUCCUCUGACGUUAGCGGCGGACGGGUGAGUAACACGUGGAUAACCUACCUAUAAGACUGGGAUAACUUCGGGAAACCGGAGCUAAUACCGGAUAAUAUAUUGAACCGCAUGGUUCAAUAGUGAAAGACGGUUUUGCUGUCACUUAUAGAUGGAUCCGCGCCGCAUUAGCUAGUUGGUAAGGUAACGGCUUACCAAGGCAACGAUGCGUAGCCGACCUGAGAGGGGGAUCGGCCACACUGGAACUGAGACACGGUCCAGGCUCCUACGGGGGGCAGCAGUAGGGAAUCUUCCGGAAUGGGCGAAAGCCUGAAGGAGCAACGCCGGGGGAGUGAUGAAGGUCUUCGGAUCCUAAAACUCUGUUAUUAGGGAAGAACAAAUGUGUAAGUAACUAUGCACGUCUUGACGGUACCUAAUCAGAAAGCCACGGCUAACUACGUG
This 497-nucleotide ribosomal RNA is filed under the name uncultured bacterium. Its description in RNAcentral is "partial 16S ribosomal RNA". It matches the Rfam family "Bacterial small subunit ribosomal RNA", at positions 28 to 507 of the family's 1533-position model. The record is from RNAcentral.